UGAGGAACAUGACCUUCGGCGGGGGAUAGCCGGCCCAACGGCCGGGUAAUACCGCGUAUGACCACAUGGGGACAUCCCUGAGUGGUGAAAGCAGCAAUGCGCCGAUGGAGUGCCUCGCGGCCUAUCAGCUAGUUGGUGUGGGUAAUGGCCCACCAAGGCGAUGACGGGUAGCCGGCCUGAGAGGGUGACCGGCCACACUGGGACUGAGACACGGCCCAGCUCCGUAGGGACGG
RNAcentral lists this ribosomal RNA (233 nucleotides) under uncultured bacterium. Its description in RNAcentral is "partial 16S ribosomal RNA". It matches the Rfam family "Bacterial small subunit ribosomal RNA", at positions 118 to 348 of the family's 1533-position model. The record is from RNAcentral.